This 127-nucleotide ribosomal RNA is filed under the name Klebsiella pneumoniae. RNAcentral's name for it is "partial 16S ribosomal RNA". It matches the Rfam family "Bacterial small subunit ribosomal RNA", at positions 1417 to 1533 of the family's 1533-position model. Lineage: Bacteria; Pseudomonadati; Pseudomonadota; Gammaproteobacteria; Enterobacterales; Enterobacteriaceae. The record is from RNAcentral.
GCACACGACGCACGCAGCUUACGCUGCGGGCGGGCGCUUACCACUUUGUGAUUCAUGACUGGGGUGAAGUCGUAACAAGGUAACCGUAGGGGAACCUGCGGUUGGAUCACCUCCUUACCUUAAAGAA